CAGCCGCCGCGGUAAUACGUAGGGUGCGAGCGUUAAUCGGAAUUACUGGGCGUAAAGCGUGCGCAGGCGGUUUUGUAAGACAGAGGUGAAAUCCCCGGGCUCAACCUGGGAACUGCCUUUGUGACUGCAAGGCUAGAGUACGGCAGAGGGGGAUGGAAUUCCGCGUGUAGCAGUGAAAUGCGUAGAUAUGCGGAGGAACACCGAUGGCGAAGGCAAUCCCCUGGGCCUGUACUGACGCUCAUGCACGAAAGCGUGGGGAGCAAACAGGAUUAGAUACCCGUGUAGUCCCUGUCUCUUAUAC
Molecule: ribosomal RNA, 301 nt
Filed under: uncultured bacterium
Lineage: Bacteria
Description: partial 16S ribosomal RNA
Rfam family: Bacterial small subunit ribosomal RNA
Source: RNAcentral